AUACGGAGGGGGUUAGCGUUGUUCGGAAUUACUUGGCGUAAAGCGCACGUAGGCGGAUAUUUAAGUCAGGGGUGAAAUCCCAGAGCUCAACUCUGGAACUGCCUUUGAUACUGGGUAUCUUGAGUAUGGAAGAGGUAAGUGGAAUUCCGAGUGUAGAGGUGAAAUUCGUAUAUAUUCGGAGGAACACCAGUGGCGAAGGCGGCUCACUGCCUCGAUACUGACGCUGAGGUGCGA
Molecule: ribosomal RNA, 234 nt
Filed under: Chaetoceros curvisetus
Lineage: Eukaryota; Bacillariophyta; Thalassiosirophyceae; Chaetocerotales; Chaetocerotaceae
Description: partial Bacterial small subunit ribosomal RNA
Rfam family: Bacterial small subunit ribosomal RNA
Source: RNAcentral